GCACUCUCUUCAACCUGUAGCAAUGUUGGUGAGAUAUUUAGGAUAGCAGCAGUCAUGAAUGGGCUUGUACUUGUUGGAGUUGCUGUCGGGUUCGUUCUUCUUCGAAUCGAGGCUUUUGUGGAGGAGACUGAAUGAGAAAUUUUAGCUACCUUGGUGUGUCUUGGUUGGUUGUUCUUUAUUAAGGAUGUACCUUAAUUUCUUUGUUAUUUAUUUAUGCAGUGCUGGGUUUUUUUGGAUGUAUGAACCAAACCAGCACAUUAAGUUUCAAC
This 269-nucleotide long non-coding RNA is filed under the name Populus trichocarpa (black cottonwood). RNAcentral describes it as "long non-coding RNA (PTRI_LNC001269)". Lineage: Eukaryota; Viridiplantae; Streptophyta; Magnoliopsida; Malpighiales; Salicaceae. The record is from RNAcentral.